ACGGGUGAGUAACGCGUGGGAAUCUACCCAUCUCUACGGAAUAACGCAUGGAAACGUGUGCUAAUACCGUAUACGUCCUUCGGGAGAAAGAUUUAUCGGAGAUGGAUGAGCCCGCGUUGGAUUAGCUAGUUGGUGGGGUAAAGGCCUACCAAGGCGACGAUCCAUAGCUGGUCUGAGAGGAUGAUCAGCCACACUGGGACUGAGACACGGCCCAGACUCCUACGGGAGACAGCAGUGGGGAAUAUUGGACAAUGGGCGCAAGCCUGAUCCAGCCAUGCCGCGUGAGUGAUGAAGGCCCUAGGGUUGUAAAGCUCUUUCACCGGUGAAGAUAAUGACGGUAACCGGAGAAGAAGCCCCGGCUAACUUCGUGCCAGCAGCCGCGGUAAUACGAAGGGGGCUAGCGUUGUUCGGAUUUACUGGGCGUAAAGCGCACGUAGGCGGACUAUUAAGUCAGGGGUGAAAUCCCGGGGCUCAACCCCGGAACUGCCUUUGAUACUGGUAGUCUUGAGUUCGAGAGAGGUGAGUGGAAUUCCGAGUGUAGAGGUGAAAUUCGUAGA
This 557-nucleotide ribosomal RNA is filed under the name uncultured bacterium. Its description in RNAcentral is "bacterial SSU rRNA". It matches the Rfam family "Bacterial small subunit ribosomal RNA", at positions 102 to 694 of the family's 1533-position model. The record is from RNAcentral.